AUGCAUCUAGAUUCCACACAGUGUGUAUUAUGUGAUGCUGAAGAUUAUGAGGACAGAAUACAUCUUCUUUUCUCUUGCCCAUUCAGCCAGGGUUUUUGGUGGAACAUUGGUCUUGAAUGGAACACUGAUCUAAAUAUCCAUGAUAUGAUUAUUGAAGCCCAUCAAAGAUAUAAACUUCACCAUUUCAUGGAAAUUCUAAUUAUUGGAUGCCGGAGUAUAUGGAAUCAAAGAAAUGAUCUGAUAUUUGAAGGGAUCCCUUGCUCUAUCAAUGACUGCAGAUAUGAAUUUAUCAAGACUUUCAAAUUGAAAAUGCUAAGAGCCAAGCCUAGUUUAAAGGAGGGAAUGUCUUCAUGGAUUGAUAACAUUUAUUUUUUUAUUUACUCAAUAAUCUCCCUGGUUGUCUCCCCAACAACAAUUGUAAAGACUUUGUGA
Molecule: ribosomal RNA, 432 nt
Filed under: Triticum aestivum (bread wheat)
Lineage: Eukaryota; Viridiplantae; Streptophyta; Magnoliopsida; Poales; Poaceae
Description: partial small subunit ribosomal RNA
Source: RNAcentral